AGUGAACGCUGGCGGUAGGCCUAACACAUGCAAGUCGAACGGCAGCACAGUAAGAUCUUGCUCUUACGGGUGGCGAGUGGCGGACGGGUGAGGAAUACAUCGGAAUCUACUUUUUCGUGGGGGAUAACGUAGGGAAGCUUACUCUAAUACCGCAUACGACCUACGGGUGAAAGCAGGAAAGCUUCGGACCUUGCGCGAUUGAAUGGGCCGAUGUCGGAUUAGCUGGUUGGCGGGGUAAAGACCCACCAAGGCGACGAUCCGUAGAUGGUCUUAGAGGAUGAUCAGCCACACUGGAACUGAGACACGGUCCAGACUCCUACGGGAGGGAGCAGUGGGGAAUAUUGGACAAUGGGCGCAAGCCUGAUCCAGUCAUACCGCGUGGGUGAAGAAGGCCUUCGGGUUGUAAAGCCCUUUUGUUGGGAAAGAAAAGCAGCAGGUUAAUACCCCGCUGUUCUGACGGUACCCAAAGAAGAAGCACCGGCUAACUUCGUG
RNAcentral lists this ribosomal RNA (492 nucleotides) under uncultured bacterium. Its description in RNAcentral is "partial 16S ribosomal RNA". It matches the Rfam family "Bacterial small subunit ribosomal RNA", at positions 29 to 507 of the family's 1533-position model. The record is from RNAcentral.